AUACGGAGGGUGCAAGCGUUAUUCGGAAUCACUGGGCGUAAAGGACGCGUAGGCGGGGUGGAAAGUCAGGUGUGAAAGCCUACAGCUUAACUGUAGAACUGCACUUGAAACGCUCACCCUAGAGUAUGGGAGGGGCAGAUGGAAUUAGUGGUGUAGGGGUAAAAUCCGUAGAUAUCACUAGGAAUACCGAAAGCGAAGGCGAUCUGCUGGAACAUAACUGACGCUAAGGCGUGAAAGCGUGGGGAGCAAACAGGAUUAGAAACCCUUGUAGUCC
RNAcentral lists this ribosomal RNA (274 nucleotides) under uncultured bacterium. RNAcentral describes it as "partial 16S ribosomal RNA". It matches the Rfam family "Bacterial small subunit ribosomal RNA", at positions 523 to 796 of the family's 1533-position model. The record is from RNAcentral.